CUGUUAGGUUUUAUGCAACAGGCUCUUUCCAGCAAUUGCUAGGCGACACAAUUCAAGCAGACAAAUCUACUAUAUCUAGAAUAAUCCAAAAAGUAACUCUAGAAUUGUGUAAACUGGCUGAAACAUUUAUUAAAAUGCCAUCUGAUCAAGAACUUCAAAAUGUUGUAGAGAAUUUCUAUGAACUCGCAGGAUUUCCGAGAUGUGCAGGUGCAGUUGAUUGCACUCAUAUCAAAAUUACAAGUCAGGGUGGAAGACUAGCUGAAGUAUUCCGCUGUCGAAAAGACUUUUUUUUCAAUAAAUGUGCAAGUGGUCUGUGAUGCGAAAUUAAAAAUAAGGGACAUAAUUGCUCGGUGGCCUGGAAGUGUGCGCG
RNAcentral lists this unclassified non-coding RNA (370 nucleotides) under Melitaea cinxia (Glanville fritillary). RNAcentral describes it as "misc RNA ENSMCXG00005013070.1". Lineage: Eukaryota; Metazoa; Arthropoda; Insecta; Lepidoptera; Nymphalidae. The record is from RNAcentral.